Molecule: transfer RNA, 85 nt
Filed under: Candidatus Levybacteria bacterium RBG_16_35_11
Lineage: Bacteria; Candidatus Levyibacteriota
Description: tRNA-Leu
Rfam family: tRNA
About the family: Transfer RNA (tRNA) molecules are approximately 80 nucleotides in length. Their secondary structure includes four short double-helical elements and three loops (D, anti-codon, and T loops).
Source: RNAcentral
GCCAGGGUGGCGAAACUGGCAGACGCGCAUGGUUUAGGACCAUGUGGGGAAACCCUUGGAGGUUCGAGUCCUCUCCCUGGCACAA